UUAUACGGCCAUACGACCCUGAGAAUGCCCAAUCUCAUCUGAUCUCAGAAGCUAAGCAGGGUUGGGCCAAGUUAGUACUUGGAUGGGAGAUCACUUGGGAAUACCGGGUGCUGUAGGCU
This 119-nucleotide ribosomal RNA is filed under the name Gavia stellata (red-throated loon). The record is from RNAcentral. Lineage: Eukaryota; Metazoa; Chordata; Aves; Gaviiformes; Gaviidae.